CCGAAGAUGAUCAAAAGAAAACUGCUGUUCAGCAAGUGGAGACUGGCAUGCAGAUUCCCUGGCCUGCAAGCUUAGAGCAGGAAGAUACUAAAUGCUGCUGGAACAAUGAAAAGAAAGAACGGAUGUCACAAAAAGCAUUUUCAUUUGAUGAAUAGAACUAAAAGAGCAAAGCAAUUGAAAGCUCAACACAACACAGGAGGGAUCCAUGGC
Molecule: long non-coding RNA, 210 nt
Organism: Gorilla gorilla gorilla (western lowland gorilla)
Lineage: Eukaryota; Metazoa; Chordata; Mammalia; Primates; Hominidae
Exons: 2
Source: RefSeq, a predicted model, not a curated record